UACGGAAGGCAGCAGUGGGGAAUAUUGCACAAUGGGCGCAAGCCUGAUGCAGCCAUGCCGCGUGUAUGAAAAAGGCCUUCGGGUUGUAAAGUACUUUCAGUCGUGAGGAAGGUGUUAAGGUUAAUAACCUUAGCAAUUGACGUUAGCGACAGAAGAAGCACCGGCUAACUCCGUGCCAGCAGCCGCGGUAAUACGGAGGGUGCGAGCGUUAAUCGGAAUUACUGGGCGUAAAGGGCACGCAGGCGGUUAAUUAAGUUGGAUGUGAAAUCCCCGGGCUUAACCUGGGAAUGGCAUUCAAGCUGGUUAGCUAGAGUCUUGUAGAGGGGGUAGAAUUCCGAUGUGUAGCGGUGAAAUGCGUAGAGAUGUGGAGGAAUACCGGUGGCGAAGGCGGCCCCUGGACAAAGACUGACGCUCAUGUGCGAAAGCGUGGGGAGCAAACGAGGGAUUAGAUACC
RNAcentral lists this ribosomal RNA (454 nucleotides) under uncultured bacterium. RNAcentral's name for it is "bacterial SSU rRNA". It matches the Rfam family "Bacterial small subunit ribosomal RNA", at positions 340 to 786 of the family's 1533-position model. The record is from RNAcentral.